UUUGACCUCAAAUCAAGUAGGACUACCCGCUGAACUUAAGCAUAUCAAUAA
This 51-nucleotide ribosomal RNA is filed under the name Ogataea krabiensis. RNAcentral's name for it is "[Candida] krabiensis partial 26S ribosomal RNA". Lineage: Eukaryota; Fungi; Ascomycota; Pichiomycetes; Pichiales; Pichiaceae. The record is from RNAcentral. RNAcentral also lists the same sequence under 1 other name.